RNAcentral lists this ribosomal RNA (425 nucleotides) under uncultured prokaryote. RNAcentral's name for it is "bacterial SSU rRNA". It matches the Rfam family "Bacterial small subunit ribosomal RNA", at positions 355 to 774 of the family's 1533-position model. The record is from RNAcentral.
UGGGGAAUCAUGGUCAAUGGGCGAAAGCCUGAACCUGCGACGCCGCGUGAGUGAUGAAGGUCGUAAGAUCGUAAAACUCUUUUCAGGGAUCUUAAAGCCUGUCUGUCAACAACAGGCAGGUCUGACUCUCCCUGGAAGAAGCCCCAGCCAACUACGUGCCAGCAGCUGCGGUAAUACGUAGGGGGCGAGCGUUAUUCGGAAUUACUGGGUGGAAAGGGUUGGUAGGCGGCCCUUCAAGUCGCGUGUCAAAGUCCAGUGCUCAACGCUGGGUGUGCACGCGAUACUGACGGGCUUGAGGGCUGGAGAGGUGAGCGGAAUUCCCGGUGUAGUGGUAAAAUACGUAGAGAUCGGGAGGAACACCAGCGGCGCAGGCGGCUCACUAGACAGUUUCUGACGCUAAGAUACGAAAGCGUGGGGAGCAAACA